GUGCCAGCAGCCGCGGUAAUACAGAGGGUGCGAGCGUUAAUCGGAAUUACUGGGCGUAAAGCGCACGUAGGUGGCUUGACAAGUCGGUUGUGAAAGCCCCGGGCUCAACCUGGGAACUGCAUCCGAGACUGUCUUGCUAGAGUAUGGGAGAGGGAAGUGGAAUUUCCGGUGUAGCGGUGAAAUGCGUAGAUAUCGGAAGGAACAUCAGUGGCGAAGGCGACUUCCUGGACCAAUACUGACACUCAAGUGCGAAAGCGUGGGGAGCAAACAGGAUUAGAAACCCGUGUAGUCC
Molecule: ribosomal RNA, 292 nt
Filed under: uncultured bacterium
Lineage: Bacteria
Description: partial 16S ribosomal RNA
Rfam family: Bacterial small subunit ribosomal RNA
Source: RNAcentral